This 482-nucleotide ribosomal RNA is filed under the name uncultured bacterium. RNAcentral describes it as "partial 16S ribosomal RNA". It matches the Rfam family "Bacterial small subunit ribosomal RNA", at positions 30 to 507 of the family's 1533-position model. The record is from RNAcentral.
AUUGAACGCUGGCGGCAUGCCUUACACAUGCCAGUCGAACGGUAACGGGCCUUCGGGUGCCGACGAGUGGCGAACGGGUGAGUAAUACAUCGGAACGUGCCCGAUCGUGGGGGAUAACGAGGCGAAAGCUUUGCUAAUACCGCAUACGAUCUACGGAUGAAAGCAGGGGACCGCAAGGCCUUGCGCGGACGGAGCGGCCGAUGGCAGAUUAGGUAGUUGGUGGGAUAAAAGCUUACCAAGCCGACGAUCUGUAGCUGGUCUGAGAGGAUGAUCAGCCACACUGGGACUGAGACACUGCCCAGACUCCUACGGGAGGCAGCAGUGGGGAAUUUUGGACAAUGGGCGCAAGCCUGAUCCAGCCAUGCCGCGUGCAGGAUGAAGGCCUUCGGGUUGUAAACUGCUUUUGUACGGAACGAAAAGCCUUCUUUUAAUACAGGAGGGUCAUGACGGUACCGUAAGAAUAAGCACCGGCUAACUACGUG